RNAcentral lists this unclassified non-coding RNA (464 nucleotides) under Hevea brasiliensis (rubber tree). The record is from RNAcentral. Lineage: Eukaryota; Viridiplantae; Streptophyta; Magnoliopsida; Malpighiales; Euphorbiaceae.
AGCAAGAGCAUUACGAAUUCGAGCAACUGCAGAAAUCGUAUUAGUUCUGGGUCGAAGAUGAAUAUGAUCCCUCAAGAACUCAAGCGUUAGCUUCGUUUUGGGAAUUGGGUACUUAGCCGGGUCCACGGGUCCAACAUGGAGCACUUUUCCUACUCGGAGCUCAAUCUUCUGCUUGGUACCUUCAGGUGGUUCCUUGAGUACCCCCUCAACGGAGACGCACGCGCCAGUAUGAACAAGCGAGCUCAGAUCCGCCACUUCUUUCUCCACUAUAACCUGGAGGUUGGCCGGACAUGAGCCAUCGUUCACCUCCAAAAAUGCGAACGAUCCCUUACCCUGCUCUCUCCCGGUCUUCACCCAGCCACCUAUCCGUACAAGCUGGCCACCGAGGCCGGCACCACCGUCAGGGCGACAGACAAUGGAUCGAAUUGGGACCCUAUCGGAGAACGGGUGCUUGAGAACUUUGG